GCCUGGGUGGCUCAGUCGGUUGAGCGCCCCACUUCGACUCAGGUCAAGAUCUCCUGGUUCGUGGGUUCAAGUCCCGCAUCAGGCU
Molecule: transfer RNA, 85 nt
Filed under: Felis catus (domestic cat)
Lineage: Eukaryota; Metazoa; Chordata; Mammalia; Carnivora; Felidae
Rfam family: tRNA
About the family: Transfer RNA (tRNA) molecules are approximately 80 nucleotides in length. Their secondary structure includes four short double-helical elements and three loops (D, anti-codon, and T loops).
Source: Rfam by way of RNAcentral